GCCGACAUCUAGUAAAGUAAGUGCGGCAGGUGAUCAGGGCUUGGAAACGGAGGCAGCGUCUUUUACGGGCGCGUCGGCCAGGCCGUUCCCCAUGGUGGCUGACUGCACGGUCAGGACGGACAUGCUGGGGGAGGAGGGGCCAUCGGCGUUGGAAUUAGGUAGGAGUGGGUGAGUGUGGCUGCCGUUGUUGAUGUUGGAGGCGGCGACGGCGGCAGCAGCCACCAUGGGGUUCCUGGAGUGGCAGGUAGUGGUGGAGAUGGCAGUGGCGAGGGAGAUGGGCAUAAGGCAUAAGCCUUUGCCUUGAAGAUACUGCAUGGCGGAACCCAUGUCCUCCUCCAUGAGUUUGGCCACCUGGUGCUCCGUCACUGUGAGGCUGUCGUUUGAUG
This 386-nucleotide long non-coding RNA is filed under the name Vitis vinifera (wine grape). RNAcentral's name for it is "long non-coding RNA (VVIN_LNC003461)". Lineage: Eukaryota; Viridiplantae; Streptophyta; Magnoliopsida; Vitales; Vitaceae. The record is from RNAcentral.